Molecule: ribosomal RNA, 253 nt
Filed under: uncultured bacterium
Lineage: Bacteria
Description: partial 16S ribosomal RNA
Rfam family: Bacterial small subunit ribosomal RNA
Source: RNAcentral
UACGGAGGGUGCAAGCGUUAUCCGGAUUCACUGGGUUUAAAGGGUGCGUAGGUGGGUUGGUAAGUCAGUGGUGAAAUCUCCAGGCUUAACUUGGAAACUGCCAUUGAUACUAUCAAUCUUGAAUACCGUGGAGGUCAGCGGAAUAUGUCAUGUAGCGGUGAAAUGCUUAGAUAUGACAUAGAACACCAAUUGCGAAGGCAGCUGGCUACACGAAUAUUGACACUGAUGCACGAAAACGUGGGGAUCAAACAGG